GGACUACAGGGGUAUCUAAUCCCGUUUGCUCCCCUGGCUUUCGUGCCUCAGCGUCAGGAAGUGUCCAGAGACUCGCCUUCGCCACUGGUGUUCCUCUCGAUAUCUACGCAUUUCACUGCUACACCGAGAAUUCCAGUCUCCCCUCCACUCCUCGAGCCGAAUAGUAUCCGACGCCAUUUCCGAGUUAAGCUCGGAGAUUUCACGUCAGACUUACCCGACCGCCUACGCACCCUUUACGCCCAGUGAAUCCGAACAACGCUUGGGACCUCUGUAUUACCGCGGCGGCUGGCAC
RNAcentral lists this ribosomal RNA (292 nucleotides) under uncultured bacterium. RNAcentral describes it as "partial 16S ribosomal RNA". RNAcentral also lists the same sequence under 1 other name. The record is from RNAcentral.